This 255-nucleotide ribosomal RNA is filed under the name uncultured bacterium. RNAcentral describes it as "partial 16S ribosomal RNA". It matches the Rfam family "Bacterial small subunit ribosomal RNA", at positions 524 to 776 of the family's 1533-position model. The record is from RNAcentral.
UACAGAGGUCCCAAGCGUUGUUCGGAUUCACUGGGCGUAAAGGGUGCGUAGGUGGCUUGGUAAGUUCGAUGUGAAAUCUCCGGGCUUAACCCGGAAAUGGCAUUGAAUACUAUUGAGCUGGAGGUUUGGAGGGGGGACUGGAAUUCUCGGUGUAGCAGUGAAAUGCGUAGAUAUCAAGCGGAACACCAGUGGCGAAGGCGAGUCCCCUGGACAACUCCUGACACUGAGGCACGAAAGCUAGGGGGAGCAAACAGG